Molecule: ribosomal RNA, 897 nt
Filed under: Gastrotheca pseustes (San Lucas marsupial frog)
Lineage: Eukaryota; Metazoa; Chordata; Amphibia; Anura; Hemiphractidae
Description: partial large subunit ribosomal RNA
Rfam family: Bacterial large subunit ribosomal RNA
Source: RNAcentral
CACCUUAAAAUAGCGUCAAAGCUUAUUCGUACUCUCAUUAAAAAUUUCCUCCCUAUUAAUUAACCCUUCAACAAUACUGAGUAAUUCUAUACUACUAUAGAAAUUUUUAUGUUAAAACUAGUAACAAGAAGAAGACCUUCUCUUAAAUGCAUCCGUAGAUCAGAAAGGACCCACCACUGAUAAUUAACGCCUAUGACCCUAAAGUAAAAACUUACCUAGAAAAACUUACUAAACGCGCCGUAAACCUAACACAAGAGCAUUUCAAGAAAGAUUAAAAGAAAAAGAAGGAACUCGGCAAAUAUUAACCCCGCCUGUUUACCAAAAACAUCGCCUCUUGAAAAACAUAAGAGGUCCAGCCUGCCCAGUGACACUGUUCAACGGCCGCGGUAUCCUAACCGUGCGAAGGUAGCGUAAUCACUUGUCCUUUAAAUGGGGACUAGUAUGAACGGCACCACGAGGGUUAUACUGUCUCCUUUUUCUAAUCAGUGAACCUAAUCUCCCCGUGAAGAAGCGGGGUUACAACUAUAAGACGAGAAGACCCUAUGGAGCUUUAAACAAAACAACAUUUGCUAAGUCACACACGAAUCUCAGGAGAUUAACUCUUAUUUUAGCCCUAUGAUUGUUAGUUUUAGGUUGGGGUGACCGCGGAGUAAAAAACAACCUCCACAAUGAAUAAGGCCCUCCCUUAAGCAAAAAGCCACAACUUUAUGCAUCAACAAAUUGACAUUAAUUGACCCAAUAUUUUGAUCAACGAAACAAGUUACCCUAGGGAUAACAGCGCAAUCCACUUCAAGAGCCCGUAUCGACAAGUGGGUUUACGACCUCGAUGUUGGAUCAGGGUACCCCAGUGGUGCAGCCGCUACUAAAGGUUCGUUUGUUCAACGAUUUAAACCCUAC